AGGAGAAAGCCGAAAAUCCUAUAAAAGAGUAGGCA
This 35-nucleotide non-coding RNA is filed under the name uncultured Prevotella sp. RNAcentral's name for it is "DUF805b RNA". It matches the Rfam family "DUF805b RNA". From Rfam's summary of the family: Bacteroidetes, Chlorobi (1 example), Proteobacteria. Lineage (Flavobacteria) Lineage: Bacteria; Pseudomonadati; Bacteroidota; Bacteroidia; Bacteroidales; Prevotellaceae. The record is from RNAcentral.